CGGGACACGUGGUAUCCUGUCUGAAUAUGGGGGGACCAUCCUCCAAGGCUAAAUACUCCUGACUGACCGAUAGUGAACCAGUACCGUGAGGGAAAGGCGAAAAGAACCCCGGCGAGGGGAGUGAAAAAGAACCUGAAACCGUGUACGUACAAGCAGUGGGAGCACGCUUAGGCGUGUGACUGCGUACCUUUUGUAUAAUGGGUCAGCGACUUAUAUUCUGUAGCAAGGUUAACCGAAUAGGGGAGCCGAAGGGAAACCGAGUCUUAACUGGGCGUUAAGUUGCAGGGUAUAGACCCGAAACCCGGUGAUCUAGCCAUGGGCAGGUUGAAGGUUGGGUAACACUAACUGGAGGACCGAACCGACUAAUGUUGAAAAAUUAGCGGAUGACUUGUGGCUGGGGGUGAAAGGCCAAUCAAACCGGGAGAUAGCUGGUUCUCCCCGAAAGCUAUUUAGGUAGCGCCUCGUGAAUUCAUCUCCGGGGGUAGAGCACUGUUUCGGCAAGGGGGUCAUCCCGACUUACCAACCCGAUGCAAACUGCGAAUACCGGAGAAUGUUAUCACGGGAGACACACGGCGGGUGCUAACGUCCGUCGUGAAGAGGGAAACAACCCAGACCGCCAGCUAAGGUCCCAAAGUCAUGGUUAAGUGGGAAACGAUGUGGGAAGGCCCAGACAGCCAGGAUGUUGGCUUAGAAGCAGCCAUCAUUUAAAGAAAGCGUAAUAGCUCACUGGUCGAGUCGGCCUGCGCGGAAGAUGUAACGGGGCUAAACCAUGCACCGAAGCUGCGGCAGCGACGCUGAUGCGUUGUUGGGUAGGGGAGCGUUCUGUAAGCCUGUGAAGGUGUGCUGUGAGGCAUGCUGGAGGUAUCAGAAGUGCGAAUGCUGACAUAAGUAACGAUAAAGCGGGUGAAAAGCCCGCUCGCCGGAAGACCAAGGGUUCCUGUCCAACGUUAAUCGGGGCAGGGUGAGUCGACCCCUAAGGCGAGGCCGAAAGGCGUAGUCGAUGGGAAACAGGUUAAUAUUCCUGUACUUGGUGUUACUGCGAAGGGGGGACGGAGAAGGCUAUGUUGGCCGGGCGACGGUUGUCCCGGUUUAAGCGUGUAGGCUGGUUUUCCAGGCAAAUCCGGAAAAUCAAGGCUGAGGCGUGAUGACGAGGCACUACGGUGCUGAAGCAACAAAUGCCCUGCUUCCAGGAAAAGCCUCUAAGCAUCAGGUAACAUCAAAUCGUACCCCAAACCGACACAGGUGGUCAGGUAGAGAAUACCAAGGCGCUUGAGAGAACUCGGGUGAAGGAACUAGGCAAAAUGGUGCCGUAACUUCGGGAGAAGGCACGCUGAUAUGUAGGUGAAGCGACUUGCUCGUGGAGCUGAAAUCAGUCGAAGAUACCAGCUGGCUGCAACUGUUUAUUAAAAACACAGCACUGUGCAAACACGAAAGUGGACGUAUACGGUGUGACGCCUGCCCGGUGCCGGAAGGUUAAUUGAUGGGGUCAGCGCAAGCGAAGCUCUUGAUCGAAGCCCCGGUAAACGGCGGCCGUAACUAUAACGGUCCUAAGGUAGCGAAAUUCCUUGUCGGGUAAGUUCCGACCUGCACGAAUGGCGUAAUGAUGGCCAGGCUGUCUCCACCCGAGACUCAGUGAAAUUGAACUCGCUGUGAAGAUGCAGUGUACCCGCGGCAAGACGGAAAGACCCCGUGAACCUUUACUAUAGCUUGACACUGAACAUUGAGCCUUGAUGUGUAGGAUAGGUGGGAGGCUUUGAAGUGUGGACGCCAGUCUGCAUGGAGCCGGCCUUGAAAUACCACCCUUUAAUGUUUGAUGUUCUAACGUUGACCCGUGAUCCGGGUUGCGGACAGUGUCUGGUGGGUAGUUUGACUGGGGCGGUCUCCUCCUAAAGAGUAACGGAGGAGCACGAAGGUUGGCUAAUCCUGGUCGGACAUCAGGAGGUUAGUGCAAUGGCAUAAGCCAGCUUGACUGCGAGCGUGACGGCGCGAGCAGGUGCGAAAGCAGGUCAUAGUGAUCCGGUGGUUCUGAAUGGAAGGGCCAUCGCUCAACGGAUAAAAGGUACUCCGGGGAUAACAGGCUGAUACCGCCCAAGAGUUCAUAUCGACGGCG
RNAcentral lists this ribosomal RNA (2110 nucleotides) under Escherichia coli. RNAcentral's name for it is "partial 23S ribosomal RNA". It matches the Rfam family "Bacterial large subunit ribosomal RNA", at positions 418 to 2513 of the family's 2925-position model. The record is from RNAcentral. Lineage: Bacteria; Pseudomonadati; Pseudomonadota; Gammaproteobacteria; Enterobacterales; Enterobacteriaceae.